Molecule: unclassified non-coding RNA, 23 nt
Filed under: Mus musculus (house mouse)
Lineage: Eukaryota; Metazoa; Chordata; Mammalia; Rodentia; Muridae
Description: oocyte_clustered_small_RNA13309
Source: RNAcentral
CAGCAAGCACUCGGUGUCAAUGG